RNAcentral lists this ribosomal RNA (312 nucleotides) under Pseudomonas aeruginosa. Its description in RNAcentral is "bacterial SSU rRNA". It matches the Rfam family "Bacterial small subunit ribosomal RNA", at positions 81 to 396 of the family's 1533-position model. Lineage: Bacteria; Pseudomonadati; Pseudomonadota; Gammaproteobacteria; Pseudomonadales; Pseudomonadaceae. The record is from RNAcentral.
UGCUCCUGGAUUCAGCGGCGGACGGGUGAGUAAUGCCUAGGAAUCUGCCUGGUAGUGGGGGAUAACGUCCGGAAACGGGCGCUAAUACCGCAUACGUCCUGAGGGAGAAAGUGGGGGAUCUUCGGACCUCACGCUAUCAGAUGAGCCUAGGUCGGAUUAGCUAGUUGGUGGGGUAAAGGCCUACCAAGGCGACGAUCCGUAACUGGUCUGAGAGGAUGAUCAGUCACACUGGAACUGAGACACGGUCCAGACUCCUACGGGAGGCAGCAGUGGGGAAUAUUGGACAAUGGGCGAAAGCCUGAUCCAGCCAUG